CCAGAGGAUUUCUAGGAUCCUCUGUCCUCAAGGAAUCAAGUGCAGACUUCUACUUGCAGAAAAACUCAGCUGGACACAGCUCAACUGAGCUGCACAUAUAUUCUCCCUCUACAAUCCACCAUAUAGGAGUGGAUGCUCUCUGGAACAUUCCAACUCCACUGCAGAGGCCCAGAACAGAGUAACAAUCACUGUCACCUCACAAACCAGGUUUUAUUACUAUGCCAUAAAAGAAACAGGAGACACCAGAUCUUGUGAAAUGUUUAAAUAACUUUAAACUUUAUUAAGUAAAAUUGCAUAAACAUAACCAUAAGAUAAUGAAUAGAAACAUUCAAUACAAACUAUCACAUGUAAAAUAGAAUAUUAUAUAACUGGUGGUUUCAACCCUAAAUAUUAAAUCCCCAAUUUUAUACGGUGGGAAUAUUAAUCUAAUGAGAAAAAAAUCUCAAUUUCAUCUUAAUAUAUACCAAAACUUUUUAAGAAA
RNAcentral lists this long non-coding RNA (481 nucleotides) under Mus pahari (shrew mouse). RNAcentral's name for it is "lncRNA (MGP_PahariEiJ_G0005116.1)". Lineage: Eukaryota; Metazoa; Chordata; Mammalia; Rodentia; Muridae. The record is from RNAcentral.